CAGCAGUGGGGAAUAUUGCACAAUGGGGGAAACCCUGAUGCAGCAACGCCGCGUGAGCGAUGAAGGUCUUCGGAUCGUAAAGCUCUGUCUUUAGGGAUGAUAAUGACAGUACCUAAGGAGGAAGCCACGGCUAACUACGUGCCAGCAGCCGCGGUAAUACGUAGGUGGCAAGCGUUAUCCGGAAUUAUUGGGCGUAAAGGGAGCGUAGGCGGAUAUUUAAGUGGGAUGUGAAAUACAUGAGCUCAACUCAUGUGCUGCAUUCCAAACUGGAUAUCUAGAGUGCAGGAGAGGAGAGUGGAAUUCCUAGUGUAGCGGUGAAAUGCGUAGAGAUUAGGAAGAACACCAGUGGCGAAGGCGACUCUCUGGACUGUAACUGACGCUGAGGCUCGAAAGCGUGGGGAGCGAACAGGAUUAGA
Molecule: ribosomal RNA, 416 nt
Filed under: uncultured Clostridium sp.
Lineage: Bacteria; Bacillati; Bacillota; Clostridia; Eubacteriales; Clostridiaceae
Description: bacterial SSU rRNA
Rfam family: Bacterial small subunit ribosomal RNA
Source: RNAcentral